RNAcentral lists this unclassified non-coding RNA (209 nucleotides) under uncultured fungus. Its description in RNAcentral is "sequence contains ITS1, 5.8S rRNA gene". Lineage: Eukaryota; Fungi. The record is from RNAcentral.
ACGUAUCUCUGACGGGGUGUGGUGCGCCCUGCUCCGGCCCAACCGGCCGUGCAGCGGGUGAGCCUCCCCUGCUCAACACCCUCACAAACCCACUGUGAACAUUCCCGGCGGAGGGGGACUUGGCCUGUGCCGAGCUCCCCGAUGCCGCAUACCCAAACUCCAGUCACAUAGAAUGUCGUGCGGACACUGUGCCGCCUAAAAACAUGUAA